AGGACGAACGCUGGCGGCGUGCUUAACACAUGCAAGUCGAACGGAGUUAAGCGCUGAAUGAAGCUUCGGCAGAUUUCUUGCUUAACUUAGUGGCGGACGGGUGAGUAACGCGUGAGUAACCUGCCCUCGAGUGGGGAAUAACGUUCUGAAAAGGACGCUAAUACCGCAUAACACAUAGAGACCGCAUGAUCUUUAUGUCAAAAGAUUUAUCGCUCGAGGAUGGACUCGCGUCCGAUUAGCUUGUUGGCGGGUAACGGCCCACCAAGGCGACGAUCGGUAGCCGGACUGAGAGGUUGAACGGCCACAUUGGGACUGAGACACGGCCCAGGACUCCUACGGGAGGCAGCAGUGGGGGAUAUUGCGCAAUACGGGGGGAAACCCUGACGCAGCAACGCCGCGUGGAGGAUGACGGUUUUCGGAUUGUAAACUCCUUUUAUGGGGGACGAACCAAGACGGUACCCCAUGAAUAAGCUCCGGCUAACUACGUGCCAGCCGCCGC
RNAcentral lists this ribosomal RNA (499 nucleotides) under uncultured bacterium. RNAcentral's name for it is "bacterial SSU rRNA". It matches the Rfam family "Bacterial small subunit ribosomal RNA", at positions 26 to 518 of the family's 1533-position model. The record is from RNAcentral.